Molecule: long non-coding RNA, 238 nt
Organism: Bombus huntii
Lineage: Eukaryota; Metazoa; Arthropoda; Insecta; Hymenoptera; Apidae
Exons: 3
Source: RefSeq, a predicted model, not a curated record
AUUAAAAUAUCCUUGAUGUUAUUUGAUGUUAUUAUAGAUAGAAGACGAACUUGAGUUUUCCACUGACGUUUGCUAAAGGUUAUUUGUGCUUUUGACAACUUUCUCCUAAAAUCAUUUCCUAUGAGUGUCCUCCAAAUCAAUGAUAAUUUGAAAGGUUUCUAUAUAUUUCUUAAAUAUUUUUUGAAAUUAAUGAAUUAUAUUAACAUGUCGUAUAGAUAAUACCGAAGAAUCGUUUGAA